Chelonia mydas (Green sea turtle) is the source of this 138-nucleotide long non-coding RNA. RefSeq lists it as uncharacterized. The record is from RefSeq and is a predicted model, not a curated record. Lineage: Eukaryota; Metazoa; Chordata; Testudines; Cheloniidae. The transcript has 3 exons.
UACCAGCCAGUUAGUAAUAUAAAUGAUUGCCAGUUACUAUCUUUGUACACAGCCAUAUUGGUCCCAAGAUACUAGAGAGACAAAGUGGGGGAGGCAGUAUCUUUUAUUGGGCCAACUUCUAAGCUUGUCUCUCUCACC